This 758-nucleotide ribosomal RNA is filed under the name uncultured bacterium. RNAcentral describes it as "bacterial SSU rRNA". It matches the Rfam family "Bacterial small subunit ribosomal RNA", at positions 9 to 789 of the family's 1533-position model. The record is from RNAcentral.
GAGUUUGAUCAUGGCUCAGAUUGAACGCUGGCGGCAUGCCUUACACAUGCAAGUCGAACGGUAACAGGUCUUCGGAUGCUGACGAGUGGCGAACGGGUGAGUAAUACAUCGGAACGUGCCCGAUCGUGGGGGAUAACGGAGCGAAAGCUUUGCUAAUACCGCAUACGAUCUACGGAUGAAAGCAGGGGACCGCAAGGCCUUGCGCGGACGGAGCGGCCGAUGGCAGAUUAGGUAGUUGGUGGGAUAAAAGCUUACCAAGCCGACGAUCUGUAGCUGGUCUGAGAGGACGACCAGCCGCACUGGGACUGAGACACGGCCCAAACUCCUACGGGAGGCAGCAGUGGGGAAUAUUGGACAAUGGGCGAAAGCCUGAUCCAGCCAUGCCGCGUGAGUGAUGAAGGCCUUAGGGUUGUAAAGCUCUUUCACCGAUGAAGAUAAUGACGGUAGUCGGAGAAGAAGCCCCGGCUAACUUCGUGCCAGCAGCCGCGGUAAUACGAAGGGGGCUAGCGUUGUUCGGAAUUACUGGGCGUAAAGCGCACGUAGGCGGAUAUUUAAGUCAGGGGUGAAAUCCCGCAGCUCAACUGCGGAACUGCCUUUGAUACUGGGUAUCUUGAGUAUGGAAGAGGUUAGUGGAAUUGCGAGUGUAGAGGUGAAAUUCGUAGAUAUUCGCAGGAACACCAGUGGCGAAGGCGGCUAACUGGUCCAUAACUGACGCUGAGGUGCGAAAGCGUGGGGAGCAAACAGGAUUAGAUACCCUG